GGGAUGUUAGCUCAGUUGGUUUAGAGCGCAUGCUUGACAGGCAUGGGGUCGCUAGUUCGAAUCUAGUACAUCCCA
This 75-nucleotide transfer RNA is filed under the name Bacteroidales bacterium. Its description in RNAcentral is "tRNA-Val". It matches the Rfam family "tRNA". Rfam says of the family: Transfer RNA (tRNA) molecules are approximately 80 nucleotides in length. The record is from RNAcentral. Lineage: Bacteria; Pseudomonadati; Bacteroidota; Bacteroidia; Bacteroidales.